Molecule: non-coding RNA, 29 nt
Filed under: Mus musculus (house mouse)
Lineage: Eukaryota; Metazoa; Chordata; Mammalia; Rodentia; Muridae
Source: RNAcentral
UGAAUUACCUGUAAAUCUGUAUGGUUAUU